This is a long non-coding RNA of Folsomia candida, 462 nucleotides long. RefSeq lists it as uncharacterized. NCBI's taxonomy places the organism in Eukaryota, Metazoa, Arthropoda, Collembola, Entomobryomorpha, Isotomidae. The transcript is spliced from 3 exons. The record is from RefSeq and is a predicted model, not a curated record.
CAAUGCGAUAUUUUUGCAAUCUUGGUUGUAUUUGACUGUUACAUUUGUCACCAAGUCUUCGCCCGUUAAGGACGUGUUAAGCUAACUGCAAGGCAAACAUCAAAUUUGAACAGGGUAAUAAGUGAAAAUGGCUCUAGGACCAGCCAACAUGCAGGAAGAAGAGUACAUUGUGGAGGCGAUUCUCGAUAAGCGAGUUCUGGAUGGAGCAACGGCAGAAUAUUUAGUGAAGUGGAUGGGCCAUGGAGAGGAGGACAACACUUGGGAGGCGGGGGAUAAUUUGACCUGCACUGAACAAAUCGAAGAAUUCGAGGCUCAAGAGAAGGCAAAGGAGGCCGCGUCCAACAAGUAGAAUUCGUUUCCGUUCCAAAAUUAUCAUUUUCCACUUCAAUUACAUGAAACAUUUAAUUGAUUCCACUUUUUUUUAAUUUUUACAAUUUGAAGGAAAUAAAUUUCUUGAAAUAA